RNAcentral lists this ribosomal RNA (760 nucleotides) under uncultured Alteromonadaceae bacterium. RNAcentral describes it as "bacterial SSU rRNA". It matches the Rfam family "Bacterial small subunit ribosomal RNA", at positions 773 to 1532 of the family's 1533-position model. Lineage: Bacteria; Pseudomonadati; Pseudomonadota; Gammaproteobacteria; Alteromonadales; Alteromonadaceae. The record is from RNAcentral.
CAGGAUUAGAUACCCUGGUAGUCCACGCCGUAAACGAUGUCUACUAGCUGUAGGGGUACUUGAGACCUUUGUAGCGCAGCUAACGCACUAAGUAGACCGCCUGGGGAGUACGGCCGCAAGGUUAAAACUCAAAUGAAUUGACGGGGGCCCGCACAAGCAGUGGAGCAUGUGGUUUAGUUCGAUGCAACGCGAAGAACCUUACCAGGCCUUGACAUCCUCGGAACUUUCUAGAGAUAGAUUGGUGCCUUCGGGAACCGAGUGACAGGUGCUGCAUGGCUGUCGUCAGCUCGUGUCGUGAGAUGUUGGGUUAAGUCCCGUAACGAGCGCAACCCUUGUCCUUAGUUGCCAGCACAUAAUGGUGGGAACUCUAAGGAGACUGCCGGUGACAAACCGGAGGAAGGUGGGGACGACGUCAAGUCAUCAUGGCCCUUACGGCCUGGGCUACACACGUGCUACAAUGGCUAGGACAGACGGCCGCAAACCCGCGAGGGGGAGCCAAUCCGACAAACCUAGUCGUAGUCCGGAUCGGAGUCUGCAACUCGACUCCGUGAAGUCGGAAUUGCUAGUAAUCGCGGAUCAGAACGCCGCGGUGAAUACGUUCCCGGGUCUUGUACACACCGCCCGUCAUACCAUGGGAGUGGGUUUCACCAGAAGUAGCUAGCCCAACCUUCGGGGAGGCGGUUACCACGGUGAGAUUUAUGACUGGGGUGAAGUCGUAACAAGGUAGCCGUAUCGGAAGGUGUGGCUGGAUCACCUCCUU